GAGAGAGAGAGAGAGAGAGAGAGAGAGGUUCAGCUGGUAUCCCAUCCGAAUAAAAACGUGCUUUUUAAAAGGGCUCUAUAUCUGGUCAUUCGAUUAAACCAACGGCUGAGAUAAAAGCCUCCCCAGUUAACCCCAAAUGGAGCUUUCGACGGUAAAUCCACGACAUCUAUCCGGAGCCUCUCUAAGAUGAAAAUCGGCGAUUGAUAACAUGGCGUCCACCGACGGAGAAGAAGCAUAGACAGGCAGCGGUCAAUCUCGUCAGAUUCUCAUCUUGGUUUCCUUCCCGCAUUGCUAAAGACAAGAGGGGUUUGUUGCUCAUCUGGGUUUCCAUCACUCUUGCCCUUGAUUCUGCCAUUUCAGGCAUGAAAAAGCAGAGCUCAUGAUGCGAAGCAAUUCGGCUGGAGUUUGGAUUGAUGUUAUGCACAACAAGAAGAAAAAGAAAAGGGUGAACCAUGAGCUGGAUACUAUGUGAUAUUCCCAGAUUUUUAUGUAGCUUUUUACCAUGAAGAUUGAGUUGGAUGUAAAUUACGUUGCCCUAGUUCCACUUGAAUCAACAUCAUAUGGCCCUUGUUCUAUGUGCACUUAUAUUGUAUUUUGAAUGUAUGAUAAUUUUUAUAAGAUAUCAAUUUUGA
This is a long non-coding RNA of Ziziphus jujuba (common jujube), 632 nucleotides long. RefSeq lists it as uncharacterized. The transcript has 2 exons. The record is from RefSeq and is a predicted model, not a curated record. Lineage: Eukaryota; Viridiplantae; Streptophyta; Magnoliopsida; Rosales; Rhamnaceae.